UGGAGCAUGUGGUUUAAUUCGAUGAUACGCGAGGAACCUUACCUGGGCUCAAAUGUAUGUUGACGUAUUCUGAAAGGGAUACUUCUUCGGACAAUAUACAAGGUGCUGCAUGGUUGUCGUCAGCUCGUGCCGUGAGGUGUCGGGUUAAGUCCCAUAACGAGCGCAACCCUAUCAUUAGUUGCCAUCAGGUCAAGCUGGGGACUCUAAUGAAACUGCCUACGCAAGUAGUGAGGAAGGUGGGGAUGACGUCAAGUCAUCAUGGCCCUUACGGCCUGGGCUACACACGUGCUACAAUGGUCGAUACAAAGGGUUGCCAAGCCGCGAGGUGGAGCUAAUCCCAUAAAACCGAUCGUAGUCCGGAUCGCAGUCUGCAACUCGACUGCGUGAAGUCGGAAUCGCUAGUAAUCGUGAAUCAGAAUGUCACGGUGAAUACGUUCCCGGGCCUU
This 446-nucleotide ribosomal RNA is filed under the name uncultured Pseudomonas sp. RNAcentral describes it as "bacterial SSU rRNA". It matches the Rfam family "Bacterial small subunit ribosomal RNA", at positions 933 to 1382 of the family's 1533-position model. Lineage: Bacteria; Pseudomonadati; Pseudomonadota; Gammaproteobacteria; Pseudomonadales; Pseudomonadaceae. The record is from RNAcentral.